Molecule: long non-coding RNA, 234 nt
Filed under: Elaeis guineensis (African oil palm)
Lineage: Eukaryota; Viridiplantae; Streptophyta; Magnoliopsida; Arecales; Arecaceae
Description: long non-coding RNA (EGUI_LNC018109)
Source: RNAcentral
GCCAUAAUGAUUAUAUCUACAACCUCUGCAUGCAGAUUUGUGAUGCAAUUUGCUUUUCUUCUUAUGCCAAUAACAAAGGCUAGUCCUCGCCCAUAUGUAACUUCACUAUUUCCGGAAAAGAAAAUAUCCCACACUGUAUGUAGAACAAUCACGUACAUGGUCCUGGCUUAGGGCAGAUCAUGCCCUACACAACAUUGUCAUUCACUGCCCUCAUCUUCGUGAUUGGCCCACAGG